AGAAGAUUUUGAAAGGAUGGAGAGAUUUGAAAUUUAAGAAGUUGGAGGAGAUGAAGAGACUAAUCCUAAGAAAAAAUUUAAAAGUUAAGAGUUGAAAAGAUCUGACCAAUGGGAUGCAAUCCAAUAGACAAGAAUGUCAUAUAGAAACCCACUUUUCCCUUGGACUUUAGAAUCAAGCAAUAUCAAUAAACAAGUAGCAAGAUGAAGAGCAAGGCAUCAAAUAAAUAUAGCCACAUCCAAG
Molecule: long non-coding RNA, 241 nt
Filed under: Lathyrus oleraceus (garden pea)
Lineage: Eukaryota; Viridiplantae; Streptophyta; Magnoliopsida; Fabales; Fabaceae
Description: Pisum sativum (pea) long non-coding RNA (PSAT_LNC041720)
Source: RNAcentral